Molecule: non-coding RNA, 114 nt
Organism: Acanthosepion pharaonis
Lineage: Eukaryota; Metazoa; Mollusca; Cephalopoda; Sepiida; Sepiidae
Source: the annotation of a GenBank genome assembly
UUACGGCCAUAUCACGUUGAAACAACGAUUCUCGCCCGAUCACCGAAGUUAAGCAAUAUCAAGCCUGGUCAGUACCUAGAGGGGCGAGCGCUUGAGAACAACAUGUGCUGUAAG